RNAcentral lists this ribosomal RNA (702 nucleotides) under uncultured Arthrobacter sp. RNAcentral describes it as "bacterial SSU rRNA". It matches the Rfam family "Bacterial small subunit ribosomal RNA", at positions 413 to 1124 of the family's 1533-position model. Lineage: Bacteria; Bacillati; Actinomycetota; Actinomycetes; Micrococcales; Micrococcaceae. The record is from RNAcentral.
GGCCUUCGGGUUGUAAACCUCUUUCAGUAGGGAAGAAGCGAAAGUGACGGUACCUGCAGAAGAAGCGCCGGCUAACUACGUGCCAGCAGCCGCGGUAAUACGUAGGGCGCAAGCGUUAUCCGGAAUUAUUGGGCGUAAAGAGCUCGUAGGCGGUUUGUCGCGUCUGCCGUGAAAGUCCGGGGCUCAACUCCGGAUCUGCGGUGGGUACGGGCAGGCUAGAGUGAUGUAGGGGAGACUGGAAUUCCUGGUGUAGCGGUGAAAUGCGCAGAUAUCAGGAGGAACACCGAUGGCGAAGGCAGGUCUCUGGGCAUUAACUGACGCUGAGGAGCGAAAGCAUGGGGAGCGAACAGGAUUAGAUACCCUGGUAGUCCAUGCCGUAAACGUUGGGCACUAGGUGUGGGGGACAUUCCACGUUUUCCGCGCCGUAGCUAACGCAUUAAGUGCCCCGCCUGGGGAGUACGGCCGCAAGGCUAAAACUCAAAGGAAUUGACGGGGGCCCGCACAAGCGGCGGAGCAUGCGGAUUAAUUCGAUGCAACGCGAAGAACCUUACCAAGGCUUGACAUGGACCGGACCGCCGCAGAGAUGUGGUUUCUCCUUUUGGGGCCGGUUCACAGGUGGUGCAUGGUUGUCGUCAGCUCGUGUCGUGAGAUGUUGGGUUAAGUCCCGCAACGAGCGCAACCCUCGUUCCAUGUUGCCAGCGC